CCAUUUUACACAUUUAUACAUUAUAGUUAUUUACUUUGUUGUCUAUAUCUUUUAUAUUUAUUCUUUGAUAUUUGUUUAACCACUUUUCAUUUUCUAUUUCUGUCAUUUUUUUAACAGCAUUUCAGUUGUUACAUUUUUGUUUAUUUUGUUUCACCUGUAUUUUUUCAUAACUGUACAUUCCAGAUUUAUUGAAAGAUAAGCAAUUUUUUUUUUAAAUUAUAUUAAUGUAAGAAUUAAUAUAACAAAAAAUGUAAAUAUUUAUAACUUUAUGUUUGGUUUAAAUUCAGUUUUCACUUUCAUAUUCAUAAGUUUUCAUUCAAAUAUUUAUUUACGUUAUCAGCAUUAGAAAUAUAUCUGUUGUACAUUGCAUCAUCCAAUGUGUUUACUGGCAAAACAUACUGACUGUUUGUUCCAAGUUGUUUUUAUAGAUAUAACUAUAAAAAAACUACAAGACUCUGAAUGUUUGAAAAACAAAAAGGUAUAAUAUUGGGAGUUACAAAACCAAAGAGAAAUGGAAGAUGAAGGGCACUUUAGCAGAGAUUGUUGAUUCAGAUGGGACAGUUUUAUCACGUUUAUAGAUUAAAAUUAGAAUAAUUAAAUGGCUUUAUGUGUUUGUGCUGGAUUUAUAAUGUUUUUGGAUUUUAAACUGAUUUCCCACUAAUUUGAAAUGGUUUUCCUUAAAUUCAAAAGUAUUUUUUUCUUUCUGGGGGACAGAAAUUAAUAAAGAGGUACUUCACCUUAUUGUUUUUGACUAGCAUUGCUUUAAACUUUGGUUCUAUAGUACACUGAACAACACUAUAAGAUAUCCAAAGAAACAUCUGAAAAUAAAAACAAUAUUAUUGCAGGAUGAUCUGAAUGUCAUAUACAGCUGUCUGAGUAUAAAUUCACAUACCAUGUUAAAAAGACAUGGAGUUUAUUGCAGCACCCAAUUUGUAAUAAAAGCACCUUUUUCAUUUACUUAAAAAGUAACAUGAGAAUAUAUUUUUCAAUUGAUUGUUGUUAUUGUGUGAAUGUUUAAAAUUGUUAACGGGUUAGUUGUCACUGUGUAUAGAUGUAAUUUGCAAAAUUGAAUCCUGUUAAAAUCUUUAAGAGAAUUUGUAUUCUCUUAUUAUCCAUAACUUGUGCCUUUUUAAUGAAAAUAAACAUAUUUUUG
Molecule: long non-coding RNA, 1153 nt
Filed under: Mytilus galloprovincialis (Mediterranean mussel)
Lineage: Eukaryota; Metazoa; Mollusca; Bivalvia; Mytilida; Mytilidae
Source: RNAcentral